Molecule: non-coding RNA, 217 nt
Organism: Caenorhabditis elegans
Lineage: Eukaryota; Metazoa; Nematoda; Chromadorea; Rhabditida; Rhabditidae
Source: Ensembl
GGCGAACAUUGAUACUGAACGCCGAGAAUAAGGAGGAGGGUAAUGCAAACAUGUCAUUAAAUCGAAACCGAAAGGCCCUUUACCACUAAAACCGAACACGGAUCAUAAAACGACCGGGUUCGGAGGGAUGGCAAAAAAUAUGGAUAAAAUCUCUUUAACACGGAUCUGAAUAGGUAAAAUGUUUUAGCCCAAAAAUUGAAGUGACAACUGUGCACCU